Molecule: ribosomal RNA, 512 nt
Filed under: uncultured bacterium
Lineage: Bacteria
Description: partial 16S ribosomal RNA
Rfam family: Bacterial small subunit ribosomal RNA
Source: RNAcentral
GAUGAACGCUGGCGGCGUGCCUAAUACAUGCAAGUCGAACGAAACUUCUUUAUCACCGAGUGCUUGCACUCACCGAUAAAGAGUUGAGUGGCGAGCGGGUGAGUAACACGUGGGCAACCUGCCCAAAAGAGGGGGAUAACACUUGGAAACAGGUGCUAAUACCGCAUAACCAUAGUUACCGCAUGGUAACUAUGUAAAAGGUGGCUAUACUACCGCUUUUGGAUGGGCCCGCGGCGCAUUAGCUAGUUGGUAGGGUAAAGGCUUACCAAGGCAAUGAUGCGUAGCCGAAUUGAGAGGUUGAUCGGCCACAUUGGGACUGAGACACGGCCCAAACUCCUACGGGAGGCAGCAGUAGGGAAUCUUCCACAAAGGGCGAAAGCCUGAUGGAGCAACGCCGCGUGGGUGAAGAAGGUCUUCGGAUCGUAAAACCCUGUUGUUAGAGAAGAAAGUGCGUGAGAGUAACUGUUCACGUUUCGACGGUAUCUAACCAGAAAGCCACGGCUAACUACGUG